This 876-nucleotide ribosomal RNA is filed under the name uncultured bacterium. RNAcentral describes it as "bacterial SSU rRNA". It matches the Rfam family "Bacterial small subunit ribosomal RNA", at positions 27 to 881 of the family's 1533-position model. The record is from RNAcentral.
GAAUCAACGCUGGCGGCGUGCCUAACACAUGCAAGUCGAACGCGAAAGUCCCGCAAGGGAUGAGUAGAGUGGCAAACGGGUGAGUAACACGUGGGUGACCUGCCUUCGAGCGGGGGAUAACGUCCCGAAAGGGACGCUAAUACCGCAUGACAUCCUGUUUUUUAAGAGAUGGUGAUCAAAGCCGGGGAUCGCAAGACCUGGCACUCGAAGAGGGGCCCGCGCCUGAUUAGCUAGUUGGUGAGGUAACGGCUCACCAAGGCAACGAUCAGUAUCCGGCCUGAGAGGGCGGACGGACACACUGGGACUGAGACACGGCCCAGACUCCUACGGGAGGCAGCAGUGGGGAAUUGUUCGCAAUGGGCGCAAGCCUGACGACGCAACGCCGCGUGGAGGAUGAAGAUCUUCGGGUCGUAAACUCCUUUCGAUCGAGACGAACGGCCCUGGGGUGAAUAAUCCCGGGGAGUGACGGUACCGAGAGAAGAAGCCCCGGCUAACUCCGUGCCAGCAGCCGCGGUAAUACGGGGGGGGCAAGCGUUGUUCGGAAUUACUGGGCGUAAAGGGCUCGUAGGCGGCCAACUAAGUCGGACGUGAAAUCCCUCGGCUUAACCGGGGAACUGCGUCCGAUACUGGAUGGCUUGAGUGUGGGAGAGGGAUGCGGAAUUCCAGGUGUAGCGGUGAAAUGCGUAGAUAUCUGGAGGAACACCGGUGGCGAAGGCGGCAUCCUGGACCAUUACUGACGCUGAGGAGCAAAAGCCAGGGGAGCAAACGGGAUUAGAUACCCCGGUAGUCCUGGCCCUAAACGAUGAAUGCUUGGUGUGGCGGGUAUCGAUCCCUGCCGUGCCGAAGCUAACGCAUUAAGCAUUCCGCCUGGGGAGU